This 836-nucleotide ribosomal RNA is filed under the name Cytobacillus solani. RNAcentral describes it as "bacterial SSU rRNA". It matches the Rfam family "Bacterial small subunit ribosomal RNA", at positions 42 to 847 of the family's 1533-position model. Lineage: Bacteria; Bacillati; Bacillota; Bacilli; Caryophanales; Bacillaceae. The record is from RNAcentral.
GCUCGUUAUUGGAUCUCGUGCAGUCGAGCGGAUUGAUGGUAACUUGCUCCCUGAUAUCAGCGGCGGACGGCCUGAGAAACACGUGGGUAACCUGCCUGUAAGACUGGGAUAACUCCGGGAAACCGGGGCUAAUACCGGAUAACUCAUUUCCUCGCAUGAGGAAAUGUUGAAAGGUGGCUUUUAGCUACCACUUACAGAUGGACCCGCGGCGCAUUAGCUAGUUGGUGAGGUAACGGCUCACCAAGGCGACGAUGCGUAGCCGACCUGAGAGGGUGAUCGGCCACACUGGGACUGAGACACGGCCCAGACUCCUACGGGAGGCAGCAGUAGGGAAUCUUCCGCAAUGGACGAAAGUCAGACGGAGCAACGCCGCGUGAGUGAUGAAGGUUUUCGGAUCGUAAAGCUCUGUUGUUAGGGAAGAACAAGUGCCGUUCGAAUAGGGCGGCACCUUGACGGUACCUAACCAGAAAGCCACGGCUAACUACGUGCCAGCAGCCGCGGUAAUACGUAGGUGGCAAGCGUUGUCCGGAAUUAUUGGGCGUAAAGCGCGCGCAGGUGGUUCCUUAACUCUGAUGUGAAAGCCCACGGCUCAACCGUGGAGGGUCAUUGGAAACUGGGGAACUUGAGUGCAGAAGAGGAAAGUGGAAUUCCAAGUGUAGCGGUGAAAAUGCGUAGAUAUUUGGAGGAACACCAUUGGCGAAGGCGACUUUCUGGUCUGUAACUGACACUGAGGCGCGAAAAGCGUGGGGAGCAAACAGGAUUUACAUACCCUGGUACUCCCACGCCGUAAACGAUGGAGUGCUAAAUUGUUAGGGGGGUUUUCCGCCCCCUUAAUU